GGUGAUUCAUGAUAACCUAACGGAUCGCAUGGCCUUGCGCCGGCGACGGUUCAUUCAAAUUUCUGCCCUAUCAACUUUCGAUGGUAAGGUAUUGGCUUACCAUGGUUUCAACGGGUAACGGGGAAUUAGGGUUCGAUUCCGGAGAGGGAGCCUGAGAAACGGCUACCACAUCCAAGGAAGGCAGCAGGCGCGCAAAUUACCCAAUCCCGACACGGGGAGGUAGUGACAAUAAAUACUGAUACAGGGCUCUUUUGGGUCUUGUAAUCGGAAUGAGUACAAUUUAAAUCUCUUAACGAGGAACAAUUGGAGGGCAAGUCUGGUGCCAGCAGCCGCGGUAAUUCCAGCUCCAAUAGCGUAUAUUAAAGUUGUUGCAGUUAAAAAGCUCGUAGUUGAAUCUUGGGCCUGGCUGGCUGGUCCGCCUCACCGCGUGUACUGGUCCGGCCGGGCCUUUCUUUCUGGGGAACCACAUGCCCUUCACUGGGUGUGUCGGGGAACCAGGACUUUUACUUUGAAAAAAUUAGAGUGUUCAAAGCAGGCCUUUGCUCGAAUAUGUUAGCAUGGAAUAAUAGAAUAGGACGUGUGGUUCUAUUUUGUUGGUUUCUAGGACCGCCGUAAUGAUUAAUAGGGAUAGUCGGGGGCAUCAGUAUUCAAUUGUCAGAGGUGAAAUUCUUGGAUUUAUUGAAGACUAA
This 689-nucleotide ribosomal RNA is filed under the name Massarina ricifera. RNAcentral's name for it is "SSU rRNA". It matches the Rfam family "Eukaryotic small subunit ribosomal RNA", at positions 245 to 939 of the family's 1831-position model. The record is from RNAcentral. Lineage: Eukaryota; Fungi; Ascomycota; Dothideomycetes; Pleosporales; Massarinaceae.